CUCUCUUUCUCUGAUUUUCCCUCCGACAGAAUCAUUUCCUUCGUCUCUGUCCAAUGGCGGAAACCUCUGCCCUCUACUUCAAACGCUUCUCUCCAAUUCCUUCCGUUUCUCGCUCAAGGGAUUCAAAUUCCUUCCUCUCCACAUCACCUCUUUCUUUUCCCUUUCCUUCUAAAUUCUCCAAGUCCUUUUCUCGCUCUUAUCGCUCCCUUCACUUUACCUCCAAAGCUUCCGAUUCCGGUAACUUCCUCGGCGACGAUUUUCUCGGUUCUUUCCCCUGGUCCGAUGGCG
RNAcentral lists this long non-coding RNA (288 nucleotides) under Jatropha curcas. RNAcentral describes it as "long non-coding RNA (JCUR_LNC002449)". The record is from RNAcentral. Lineage: Eukaryota; Viridiplantae; Streptophyta; Magnoliopsida; Malpighiales; Euphorbiaceae.